GGGGGUGGGGGAGGGGAGGAAGGGAGGGUAAAUAGGAGAGGUAUAGAGAAAAAGAAACGCAAAAGAAAAGAAACACAGAAGCAAAGAAAUAUAGAGAAAAAGAGAUAAAGGGGCCCGGCCGGCCGCAACCUCCCGCCCCGAGCGCCGAGCAGCAAAUGGCUCUGCCCGGCCCUCCCCGCCGCUUAAAUCCCCCCGGCCCCGCCCCGCGCAGGCGCGCUGGGGCCCCGCGCACCUGUGCGCGCACCUGUGCUGGCCCCGCCCCCCCGCCCCCCGCCCGUAAAUGGCGGCGGAUCCGCGCCCGCCUCACAUUCUGCGGGGGAUGCUCGGCCGGGCUGCGGCGGGACCGGCGCUCGGAGCGCCGUGCGGAGAUCGGAUCGGGGCUGCUCCCGGCGCUGCGCGGCGCCCGACGGGCUCAGGCACGCAGGGAUGCUUCAGCCCGGACAGACGGCACCGACAGCCCAGAGGGACCCCAGGGAACGGCUGGCAUCACCUGGGAACGGAGGCACGGCCGUUUGCAGAGGGGCUCUGACAGCAAUCCCCGUUUCUGA
Molecule: long non-coding RNA, 548 nt
Filed under: Taeniopygia guttata (zebra finch)
Lineage: Eukaryota; Metazoa; Chordata; Aves; Passeriformes; Estrildidae
Description: lncRNA (ENSTGUG00000022237.1)
Source: RNAcentral